CCUUACGCAACGUGUAGGCAACAGCUGAUUGAGAGCAUGAAAUGUUUCAAUGCUUCCAGCGUGAGAGAGAGAAACCGUUAGGAGAGAAAAACACCCAACCCGCGCUCUCGUAAACCCAAACGUAAACAUCUGUCGGAUAGGUGCUUGCAAUUUAACUUACACGACAAUGUAAACAUUAUUUGCCUGAGUCGGAUAGGACUUUUAAUAUUUUCUACGAUUAUUUACCAUUAUUUUUACGAUUAUUUACCAAAGUAGUGCUAGAAUCUUGUUGUAGGCUGAUAAACUAGAGUUCAGAAUCUGGUGAACUGGUUUUGAGGACAAAUCAGCAACGGCGAGAACAGAGAAACAGAGUCGAUCUCGCUAGCCGGAACGAGGAGCCCAAGAACGAUAACUCUCCAAGCUGGGGACUUCCGGGGACUGGGAACAGCCGUUGGUGUCCUGAAGGCGGUUCGUUGUGGCUUUCCGCAAUGCGUCCAGUGGGUGGAGGACGCCAACCAGCUGAGGAGGGAGGCAUUCGGUGUUAGCCAGCGGCUCAAGCGGUGAAUUGUGCAAGAGAUUGCCAACGGGUACGGAGUUUAUCCGCCGCACUGCAAGAAAAAGUAAACCAUCCUGCCCGAUCCGGUGUUGCUGGACGUGGAGAAGCGCACCCCGGCAAAGCGAACGGCCGAGGGCAAACCAAAGAAAAGGGAGAUUUAAGAUUUUGCUGUUUCCUGUUUAAUUUUCACGAUAUUUGAUUAUUUAGGUGGAUGGUUCCCGUGGAAGUUAAAAAAUACCACUUUUUUAGUUUUCUGUUCUGAUUUUAAAUAAAAAAUUGAAGAUUUUGCUCCAAUUCAAAUAAUGUUUGGCUUCUUGAUUUUUAUUUUUUGAAAAGUGAGAUGAAAUCCUCAAAAAAUAUUUUGACCUAGGCAAAAUGUCACAGAAAUUUUAAGUUAUUUCAAUCAUUCUGGCUGGACAAGAUAAUUAAAUGUUGCUUUGGUAUGAAAUUCAAUAAAAUAUAAAAAGAUAAAAUAUAAGCAAAUCAGCGAUAACUUUUUAGCUAUAUUAGAAAAAUUACUAAGCCUACGGAUUAUGUAUCCUGCGAGAAUCGACCUCGGCGGAAGAACGUUCCGGAAGCGGCCGUAGACGUAGUGGUCGUCGUUGGCCUAGCCAUCAUCGAGGAAGUCGUCACCACGCAGAAACAGCAAUUACGAGACUGCAGUAAACUGCAAUGACGAAGUCGUUGGCGUCGCAAUGGAAACGACUAUCUUGGCCGACGGGGACGAUAUCAGUACGGAGAAGCUGUUUCCGUUGCCAUCGGCUUCCGAAGAGUAAACCCAGCAAUCUCCACCGCUACCGCCGAUGCCACCCCUUUCUCUGUUGCCACCGACCUGUCCAACGCCCGCGUCGGAACGUUCCCAGCAGCAGCAGAGUUCCAACAUCGCAGUAACCGGUUCCUCCAGCGACGAAUGUCGCUACGCCCGCCAAAUAACAAGGUCUUUCUCACUUGGUUUUAUAUUCCCAAAUCAUUUCUGUUUUAUCAAGUACCGAGGUAACAAUUUUACAUCUUUUCAAUUUAAUAAAGUAAAAUUUGACAAAAAAGUUGUGCAAGACUUUAACAAACUGUUUAUGAAUCGCAAAUCACAAGCCAUGUUGCCUUGUCUACGUCGAUCGCUCGGUGGAGCAGAGCAGAGUUUGGGGAAAAACUUUGGGCCAGUUUUUCAGCAGUUGAUGUCAACGACGUGAUGCACCGACCACCACAUCUACGGCCGCUUCCGGGACUUUUAAUUCAGCCGCGGCGGGUGAAACCAUCAGAGCUGGAACGCUCACGACGUUGCCGCUGACCUCCUUGUCCUUCGUAACGUUCGAGGUCGA
Long non-coding RNA from Culex pipiens pallens (northern house mosquito), 1851 nucleotides. RefSeq lists it as uncharacterized. The transcript has 3 exons. The record is from RefSeq and is a predicted model, not a curated record. NCBI's taxonomy places the organism in Eukaryota, Metazoa, Arthropoda, Insecta, Diptera, Culicidae.